AAAUCAGCUCUUUUCAGAGCUACUAUAUAUUUACGAACAAGGAAUA
Molecule: non-coding RNA, 46 nt
Organism: Dufourea novaeangliae
Lineage: Eukaryota; Metazoa; Arthropoda; Insecta; Hymenoptera; Halictidae
Source: Rfam